RNAcentral lists this ribosomal RNA (469 nucleotides) under uncultured bacterium. RNAcentral describes it as "partial 16S ribosomal RNA". It matches the Rfam family "Bacterial small subunit ribosomal RNA", at positions 28 to 507 of the family's 1533-position model. The record is from RNAcentral.
GACGAACGCUGGCGGCGUGCUUAACACAUGCAAGUCGAACGGUGAAGCGAGUGCUUGCACUCGUGGAUCAGUGGCGAACGGGUGAGUAACACGUGAGUAACCUGCCCAUCACUCUGGGAUAAGCACUGGAAACGGGGUCUAAUACUGGAUACGACCAACCCUUGCAUGGGGUGUUGGUGGAAAGAUUUAUCGGUGAUGGAUGGACUCGCGGCCUAUCAGCUUGUUGGCGGGGUAAUGGCCCACCAAGGCGACGACGGGUAGCCGGCCUGAGAGGGUGACCGGCCACACUGGGACUGAGGCACGGCCCAGACUCCUACGGGAGGCAGCAGUGGGGAAUAUUGCACAAUGGGCGAAAGCCUGAUGCAGCGACGCCGCGUGAGGGAUGACGGCCUUCGGGUUGUAAACCUCUUUCGGCAGGGAAGAAGCGAAAGUGACGGUACCUGCAGAAGAAGCACCGGCUAACUACGUG